AUUGUGCAUGCGCACAGGCAUGGAAAUUUCUUUGGAGAUUAUUCUGGCAAGCUGGGUGUGAAUUUCGUUACAUUUCCAGUAAACACUGGGAAAAUAGAAUUAUGACUAUCAUUAUUCUAAGUGGAGAAUGAUUCGGACAAUUGUGAAAGAGAACCCGUUCAUACAACCUUUGGUUGUUAUCCCGGCUUCAGUAAGGCAGCAGGCCAUAUUCCCAAUUUUUUCCCAUUGAGGUCCACAAGCUCAUAUGACGAGGCACCCUUCUUGUGCACAAUUCGUGCUGGAAGAAAUUGUGGACCAUAUUUAGCAUUGUAUUGGUCCGCGGCGCUAGAUAAGGCCAUGUUGCGGCGAUACACGAGCUGUCCAACAUCGAAACUUUUACUGAAGUUCCGAUGCCGUAGAGCGUAUCGUUUUCUCCCUUCUUCGUGAGCAAUUUUGAGGUUCUUCUGAACCACCUCACGAAUUUUCCCGAACAUCUGUUCUUGAUGGGACAAUCGAUCUUCAGAGGCAAGUUCAUUAUCUCCCAGCCAGCUAUGAUCUCUACCGGUAGCAAGUAGCUCAUAACCACAGGCGAACGUCCCAAAGUCUCUGGUCCUCCUUGACGUAAGUACGGAUGGCUGCAUUGACUGUCCUAUUCACCCGCUCGACAGGAUUUGCCUGCGAGUGGUAUUUGGAGUUAAGCCAAUGUCGGAUCUGAUACUUGUCAAGUAGAGCUUUGAAUUCUUUGGAUAAGAAGCACGAAGCGUUAUCGGUAAUCACAACCUCGGGCGUUGAAUUGCGGAAAAACCACUGACCUCGGAGCGUAGCCGAAAGCGACACACUAUCGAUUCGCCGGAAAGGACAUAACAUUACCCACUUGCUAAACAAGUCUACGACCGAAAGGAUAUAUUGGUUUUGCUUCUUGCUCCGCGGCAGGGGGCCUAUGAAGUCUAGAGCUAUAAUUUGCCAUGGAUGAUCCGUCAUUCGCUGUUCACCUAAGGGAGGAGCCAUAGCUAUAUUUGGCGCUUUAGUUUCCUUGCAGAUGGUGCAUUUUUGAAUAUAUUCACGUAUAUCCGCAACCAGAUGAUGCCAGAAGUAUCGUUGACGAAUUCUCGAUAAGACGUUCUCCCGGGGAAGGAACUAAUUUCCAGUCGAAGCGGUUAUCAUGAGGUCCAUUCCGCUCUGGAAUAUAUUUGUACAAAUUCCCAUCGCGUAUUUGAAAAUCAACAUAAUCGUCAGGAUUCUCAAGGACCUUAUGCAAGAGUUCGUGAUAUUCAGGAGCAGAAAAAUCAGAAGAGACUGUGGCCGCACUCCGGGAUAACGCAUCCGGAACGACGUUCUCUUUUCCCUUUCUGUGCACGAGGGUCAGAUCAUGCUGCUGAAGGGCUAAACACCAACGGCUGCACCUGGAAGCUGUUUUCCAUUUGGCUGUUAAAAUAUGAGUUAGUGCUGAGGAAUCUGUUAUCACGAAGAAAUGAGAUCCUUCCACGUAUCCGCGGAAUGCUUCGAUGGACAGGAGAACUGCCAAUGCCUCUUUCUCGCAAGCGUGAUAAUUUUUCUGCGGUGUGGUCAGCUUGUGCGAGAAAAACUCUUUCGUGAAAUCAGGACUCAUCAAAAUAGGUGCUGAAAUUAGCCUUUCUUUUAUAUUAAUGAAAGCUUCUUCGGCUAACUGAUUCCAUUUUAAAACCUUAGAUUUAGUUUUUAACAGUUCUGUCAAUGGAGAUGUGAUGCCACUGAAGUCGCAUAUGAAUCGGCGAUAAUAGUUCGCCAUGCCUAAAAAUCGGCGCAACUUGGUAAUCGUCGUUGGCCGCUCGUAUUCGACAAUUGCACGAAUCUUCUCCGGGUUUGCUCGGAGCCCUUUUGUGGAUAGUAGGUAACCUAAGAAGGAAAGCUCUUUCACGCAGAAUUUGGAUUUAUCCAGGUUGAUGGAGAGGUUGGCCUUACAAAGACGCCUAGCCACCUCCUUGAGUAAAUUUAUGUGUUGAUCAAAUGUUUCGGAAACAACCACCAUGUCGUCCAAAUACACGAAAACAUGGGGUUCUAGUUCACCGUGUCCAAGAACCCUGUCCAUCAAACGAGAGAGGGUGGCCGGACUGUUGACUAGUCCAAACGGAAGGCGUGUAAAAUGGAACAUUCCACGUCCUUGGAUGCUGAAUGCCGUAUAGCGCCUGGAGUUUUUCUCUAACGGGAUUUGAAGGAAAGCCUCGCUCAAAUCUAUAGUGCUGAGAUAGUUCGCUUUAGGAAGUUGUCCCAAUAUGCGACCCGGAUGCGGUAAUGGGUACGCAUCGCGAACCGUUCGUUCAUUAAUUUUCCGUGCAUCUAGGCAAAGGCGAACCUUUCCUGAGGGUUUUAUCACGGGAACCACGUUGGAAGACCAAUCGGAGUGGGCUCUCUCAAUUAUUCCCCCUUUCAAUAAUCUAUCUAAUUCUGUCCCUACUUUUUGUUGUAUUUUCGGAGACAAAGUGUACGGGUAUUGUUUAACGGAUGGUUUUCCUUUCCAUUCAUCGGCAAUUUCGAUACGGUGUUCUA
This is a long non-coding RNA of Toxorhynchites rutilus septentrionalis, 2505 nucleotides long. RefSeq lists it as uncharacterized. The transcript has 4 exons. NCBI's taxonomy places the organism in Eukaryota, Metazoa, Arthropoda, Insecta, Diptera, Culicidae. The record is from RefSeq and is a predicted model, not a curated record.